CAAAAUAGGGAAUAGUCAAUCUUCUUCCCUCCUACUUAAUCUUAAUAUCUUCAUUAUUCUCAGAGAUCAGCAAUUACAGAUUUUCUGGAAUUUGUUCCUUCUUUCAAAAUAUUACUUAGACCAUAUAAUAAUAUUCCCCAGAGAUACAGUAAUUCUGUAAAAUCUUUAUUCUGUUGUCAAAUUAUUAGUCUAGGCUUUCAAACUGCUGGAUUCAUUUAUCUGGCUUUAUGUGAUACAAAAGUUCAGGAUAAAUGAUCCUGAUAUAGCCCUUUCUGAGCUUAAAAAAAAAUCUGAAAAAGGGAAAAAUAUCAAGUUUGGUAAGACAGAUUAGUUACUCACAUGAAAAUCAUUGUACUGUCUGUAACACUGUGUUACUCUGAAAGUCAAGUCCCUAACCCCGAACCUGAAAAAGUCACUUCAGUUUCUCUCUGCUGGCCAAGUUAACUGCAAGCAUUUCCUGACGCUGAGAAUGCAGGCAGAAAAAGGAAAAACGUCGACUUGAGAAAAGCACAGCUUCCAAUCCCCACCCACCAGCUUCAGUCAAAGGGAUGACUUCAGUCCCUUUCUUAACUAAUCCUGUCACUGUAAAAUCCUACAGUCAUUCUUCCAACAUAAAGGGAAAACGGACUCACUAGGAGGACCUAGACUCUUUCAGCUUGAACUGUUAACCAAUGGUGGAAAUGCAAGAAUGCUGAAGUUGUGCCUUCAGAGCCAAUAGAGUGGAUUUGUGUGUCCCACAUGACUGUGUUUCCCCUGUCUUUCACAUGGGCAGUAUUUAGUUCAAUUCAGAACUGCAGAUAGUAUAGCGUGCAGAGCAGCAAUGGGAUGUCUGAGCACAAGUGGCUGACUUCCAGGCGACUUCAGGAAGCACAUUUAUACAUUUCUCCUGAAUUAAACUGGGAUUCUGCACCCUUGACAUUCUCCAGCCCUCCUUGUUGAUGCAGAAGGAGACAACGACCUGCAUAGCACAACAAAACUACAAAUCACCACAGAGCUACAGACCAGCAACGAAGGGAGCUGAGGGCAAUUUGACCAACAUCAUCUGUGUCGGUUCCCCAGAUGUCAAUGAAACGCGUAAUCGGGUCUCCAAGGUACAUCCCAGAGAUUAGCUGCUGUGCCAUUCAAUAAGUAAAUGAUUAAAACAAGAUGUUUUCUUUGAUUACAUUAAGAUACUGGCAGCAGGGAGGGCUAUUACCUUCCAUUGAAGAGUCUACCUUCCCAAAUUACUUUGUUUAUUAACACAUCAUUAACAAUGUGCCACCUCAGCCAAAUGAUCAGUGGUCUUGGGUACAAAGUAAAGAUCAUUACAGAACUCCACCACCUGCCUCAUUUGAGCAAAUCAAACCACAAGCCUCAGAAGAUCACUGUGGAAGAAACACACUGGGCCAACCCAUCCUGUUGAUAUGACACAAAGUGCAGCCCAGUUUGGUAUUCUUUCCACUCUGAAGAAGUCUCACACCAGAGCAAAAGGUCUGGCAAGUGAAGAACUAAAUGACAAAUACCAUAUCAGCUAAGCACAGAAGCAUUCCAUGUAAUAGAAGAUACCCACACUUUGAGACCAGAGACCAAUUUAACUCCUUAACCGUGCAGGAUGGCAAAACAUUUGUUACAUAACAGCAACUUCACAUGGCAUUUUUACAUCCUGCCAUCUUUUCACUGAAGAACAGAAGAUUAGACUUCUACCGACUCUGAGAGACGGGGAGUGGAGCCAGCAGCAAUAUUUAGCACAGAGUGACUGAUUUCUGGCACCAUCUAGCUUCUCUGCAAGAGGAAUCUGGCAGCCUGAACCAUACUUGUCGGCGUGAGGAUAUGUUAACAGACUCAUCUGUUGGUAAACCAGAAAGGAAGACAAAUAGGUUGGUUUAUAUCCUCACUAGAGGAGAAAACGGCAAAGAAAAAAAAGGUAAAAAGAAAAAAGAUCUUUCUGGACUAUACCAGACAAGAAAGCACAGUCUCUUCAAUUCAGAACUUUUUUCCAAUUCCCACAGUAUAACUUUCUUUCCAUUUGCCUGAAAUCACCUGUAAUGAGCAUUAGGAGCUAAUCCCUACACAUUUGGUUUAUUUGGCAUAGGCCCAAUGAAAGCAAGGAUUCUCAAAUGCAUGACAAACCCAACCCACUUUCUCACUUCGUCUUUUCAACUGCAUGUGACCACAGCUACUGAAAAUAGAAAAUUAGCUGCAUUUACACACAAGUAAUACAUAGAAGUCUCUUAGAUGGAAAAAGUGGAACAUAGUUACAUGCUUUUUCCUAUAGUCCACUUAAAGUAAUAUUUCUUUUCCUCAGGGUCGUAGUGAAUUUCUUUAAGGCAGUUUCUCAGUAAAGAGGUCUAGGGCUAUUCUGCUGUUGAUUCAUUCAUGUUGAUCAGCUCUGGUUUUGUGAUAUCAUCCAAUAACUAAAGUGUAAAUGCAAAGUAGGCAUAGCUACCUAUGUGUUUUAAUGUAUUUCAUUUACAUUUUAAUGUAUUUAAUUUAAUUUUUAUUUAUUGAAGUGUCUUAUGUUCUCUUCUCCCUAGAUAAGCAGGUUUUUUACACUCCACAUUUUCCAGUACUUUUGAUUACACAAGACUAAGAAGGACCAUAUAUUUUCCAUGACAUAGGGACAUGUGAUGACAGAAGAUUAGCAAGUCAGUAUUUGUUGUGGCAUGAAUAAGAAUAUCCUAGUGGGAAGGAAUUACAAGAUUUAGAUCUAAGAACUCAAAUGCAUCCGAUCUGAACCACAGGCAGAAGUCUAAACCAAAAUUUGAAACCACCCUCAAAGUCAGCACCUAUUAUUUGAAGAUGCUUUAUACUCACUGAACAGUUACAGAUCAAAAUGAAAGAGCAAGCAAAGCAAAAUGAGGUAAUGAGAACAAAGCAGAGAACAUGUUCAUAGAGGAAAAAGGGAAAUUGAGACUCCUGUCAUUAACAUCUGACUUGGAUGUCUCUUAAUGGGUUUAUAUUCAGUUCUAUGUUAUUCAACUAUAAUUACUACAAAGAAUGAGUUUUUACAUCUCAGAAUAUUCUGGGUUGGAAGGGAUCAUCAAGUCCCACUUGAGUGAACAAUUGAUAGCAGAUUGAAUCCACAGCCUUGGUGUUAGCACCACACUCUCACUAUGUCUAGAACUAAAGUAUCAUGGGCUAUUACAUGGUAUUCACUUGAGAGACAAACUGCGCAAGAAAUUUCACAGAUUUCUGUGAUAUCCUUACACUCAGAUUUCAAUCUUCAGUGAUGCACAGAAGAAAAGCACUGGGAUUUUCAGCAGAAAUUCCCAUGAGUAUCAAGGAAAGAGAAUUUCUAAAAUCCCUUGGUCCUUUUGAAAUUCUCUGCAUGCAAUUUCAGGUUAAUGUAUUGUUUUAAAAAGCCUGGUAGGGAAUUCUCUAGAAAGCAAAAGGUUAGAUUUUCUGAUAUGCACAUAUGCAAACCUCAGUCUCCUGCAUUCUCAUGUACCAAAAGUUGAAAAUAUAUAUAUAUAUAUAUAUAAAAAAAAAAGUCAAACCCAUAGCCACUAGAAUGUACUGUGUUUAUGUAAUUAUUUUCAGAAGACACAUUAUGCAGGUAACCUAAUACAAUCAUAAAGACCUAAAUGAGAUUCUGAUCCUGACAUUCAGGUACCCGAAAUAGGUGCUUAAGGAUUGGAAAGACAGCAAAGAACAGAGGAGACAGUAAAAGUGCUAAAAACAUUAUAGGAACCUUUAUAUUUUAUAUUCAGGUGGAGUUUGUCAUGAGCAGCCCACUCCCUUUUUGCGCUGAAUAAUUCCCAGCAUUUUCAUAUCACAUCUCAGAUACACAUAUCAAAGACAACUUUCUAAUCUUGCAAGUGUGCUUAGAGAGAAGGAAGAGGAGAGCAAAAAAUACCAAUAAACUCCCCCCUUCCUCCUUAUUUUUAUAAGGAUAAAUUAUAAAUUUACCUUACUGCCCAAUACUUCUUGUUUUUAUCAAGAAUAUUUAUCAAUACCUGAUGAAUUCUCCUCCUAGACAGACAAGACUGAAAGGAGGUAACUGAUUACUCUGUGCAUCCCAUUGUGCUCUUAUUUUAUAAUUUAAAAUCAAUUAUAUAUAUAUAUAUAUUUCUUCAAUAAAAACUGCAAAAUUGCAGUUCUAGACAAAAAAAAGUGUCUAGGACCUUCUACAUUUAAUUGCCUUGUUAAAUGAAUUUUAUAUUACAGAAGAAUCUAGAUGUCAGAAAUCAUUUGUCUUCAAAUUCCUGCCAGUUUUUACUUCAUAACUAAGUAUUUGAGUUGUUUGUUCUCCUUCCUCACCGUAUUGAAAUUAGAUUACCAGUGCUGUCACCAAGUGACAAUAAUACUGAGCUCAAGACAAGACCCUCAUGUGCCAAGGGAAAAAAAACCUACAUUUCACAACAAGAAAAUUAAGUUUCAGAAACCAUGAGACUGGUUAUAUCCGUUCUUUGGCAAUAUUCUAUUAUUCCUUCCACCCUCUUCACUAAUUUAUUUCUUCCUCAGUCUUGUACUCCAAGCCUUCAGUGACAGCUUUUGGAACCCUAAACCAGACUCAAUCAAUAGGUUGAGGUCAGCUGUCAGACCCAUGGGAUCAGAAAGAUCAGAACACAUUUAUCCAAAGUCCAAGUGGAGUGCCCUAUUCAGACAGCUAUGCUGCCUGCUAGUUAUCAGGUGGAACUGAAAACAAAACUUAUAUUAAAAGACAGCAGGAUCAUUAUUUCUCCUUUCUGCCCCACCUCCUCGAAUGCCUGAGGUCAUUUUCCACAACAAAAAUGAAUGCCCUUCUUGAAAGUGUUUUUGUGCUAAACAGCAGUGGUUAAUUUCUUGCAACUAAUUAGUUAUUCAAGUGAAAGUAUAAUGAUCCUCCAACAUGAUUGAAAGUGCUUCAACUGAGUUCCCUGCUAACAGCAUACUUCUAGAAAAGAUGCAAUAAAUCAGCAGGGUUAUGAAAAUCUUUAAACAAAAGCAAGCCUAUGACAGGAACCCAUUAAAGAUAUAGCCAUGUAAUAUUUAUGCACCUAGCUGCCUUGUGCUUGUAACCCAGCACUUUCAGCUAUAUCUUUGUAGCACCUGUAUCAUAUUCCAUAAAAAUGAGAUUCACCCUACCUGCUAAGAGCCAGCACAAUGUCUCUGAUUUAGGUGUUCAGAGCAUAGGGUUACCAUAGGGCUUAAGGGAUGGGACUUCCCUCCAAAUGGAAUUUCUUCCAGAUAUUUCUAAAUAAAAAUACAAAAGCUUUGAACAGCACAGAAAAUGUAAUUUGUGAGCCUCAAGCUCCUUUAUUACCUUUGGCAAGAAAAGGGGCAGGUGCUGACAAAAGAAUGGUUUAUAAAUCCAGAGAGGUACUGAUGCAGAAACAAAACUCCUUAGAAUAGCCAGUAUCACCUAUGAUUGUUCAGAUUAUGAUUUGUGAUUUGGAGUGAUUAUGGAGAUGGUAAUAGGGGAUCUCUUGAGACUUUUACAGGAAGUCCUGACUGUGUAAAAUGCCAUCCACUUACUCCUAAACCUAGUAAUUAAUUACAGAGUUUGCAUUUAAAUGUAUUGGGUACUGCAGAAAAGCAAGACCCUGUAGUAGAAAAAUGCAUUUUGAUAAUGCUUGAGGCUUCUGGGUGCUACAGAUGUACCAAUCUGUUUAAAUUUCCAAAACAAAGAGAUAUUUCCCUUUCUUUUUUCACAUUAAAUGGUCUGCAUAUGUGCUUGCAUGUAUUUUUAAGCUACACAUAAGUGCAAAAUAGGAAGCAAAGAGAAUAGUUCUAUUUAUUAACUUAGUUGGCUGUACAUGCUUUCUGUCAUCCCUUUCACUCAUUUACUUCAUUGCAAAUCUCAGUCUUCCCACAGUUUUAAAAGACAGAAUUUGGAUUCACAAACCAAUUUGAGUUGGGGACUCAAAUACAAUUUCCUGGCCUACCUUUCCUUGCUGCAGCAAAUGGCUGCCAAACAGGGAAACCUUGCUGCUGUGAGGUUGGAAAAGGGAGAUUUCAGGGAAGGAUGUAGGAACUGCAGUUUGCUUGGGACUGGGAGGUGGCAAUUGAAGGACAGAGAAAAGGACACCAGACAUCACUCCCCCUUCCCAUAAAAUCAAAUUCGGCUUCAAGAAAGGUUUUUGGGCCAAUGACCACUUUCAACUCACACCUUCUGUUGGAAAAAUAAAUUAGGAGUCCAGCUUUAUUUUGUCAAUAGAAAGUUUAAAGUGGUCACUGGAGCACAAAGCUUUUCAAAAGGUAGCUGAGCUCAACAAGGACAAGGAGGAGGAUGUUGAGAAAGCCACAAAAACAGAGGCAGAUUACAAACCAUUAAAGGCCAUGCCGUUUUUCAGUAAUAAAGAAAAGGCCUUUAGAACAGUUCUGGUAAUUUGUAUCUGCUUAUUGUGGGCUAUUUUUCUUUAGAAGAAUAUGUAUUACUUAAAAAAAAACUCUGCCAGAGCAGGAAAAGGUAUUUUGUGUUUGUGUGUGUUGGUCUUGAUAAAAAAGAGCCACCAGAAAACAGUAAACUAACUAGGCAUUUGCUCCCUGAAUACAUGGGAUUAUGCUUCUCAUUUGUGCUGAAAAUCAUUGGAUCCUGUACAAGUAAUUGUACUGCAAUGGGUUUUGCCAUGCUAAAUAUUUAAAGCUGUGUUCCCAGUCCUUCAGAGUCUGAGCUUAUUCUGUGUUCAGAGCUUUUUAGAGUUGAGUCCAAUAGCAUAUUUGUUUUGAAUGGCUGUUCUUAGAUAACAGUAACAAAAAUCCAAAACUUGUUUACACCAUUUAACCUGCCUAAGAGCUUAGCUUGAGACAUUAAAAAAGCCACACAACAAGCAAUCAGAAAAAUGCAGUCCUUUAGAAUAGUCUCUACUGGUGAGAAGUUACCCCAUCAAAAAGCAAAAAGAAUGUUUUGCCAGCUCUGGACCAAGAGUUGCUUUGUUUUUAAACUGGAGCAAUGACUGGCAUAAAAAGACUUCAAGGAAUUUCCUCUUCUCCCUGAAGAUAGUCGUGAGCCCUUCUACUGCCCCAGACUUCAUGUUAUGGUGAUUGCAAGGAUAGGUACACUUUGUGGGACCUAAGCAGAAGCCCUUGUUUAUCAGAGUGUGCAAAAUGUGAAAAAGAGUCAAAACAAAGCAAAUCAGGCAAUUCCAUCAAUCCUAAGAAAAUUGUUCCCAACUGAGCAGUACCUUCAGCUCUAACAGGCAGUUACAUCAGCUGUGCAGCAGAUGCACAUGGCCUGUUCUCUCAACGUAUUGCUACCUUAAGAACAAGACUUCACCAUUUACAAACAGACACUCAUGGAGUGUUCUACACAUUCUCAAAUUGUAUUUGUGGUCUAAGUUCUGUAAAGUAUGGUGAUAUUUUUGGGAACAAAGAUGAAGCAUAAUUUCUCAUCUGUUCCAAAUUACACAUUAAAAAAAAAAAAAGUGAGGAUGUUAGUAACAAAUAGAUUUGCGUACAGAAAUUUCAAAAAGGAAAAAAAUGCAGAAAUGCCAAAAUACAAUUACAGCAAAGGAAAUAAUGCAACCAGCCAAUGAUUUACCACCCUCACAUUUUCAGAAUUGCAGUUCUACUCAUUAGAAUCCAGUGCAAUGUAGUAGACACAGUAUCUGAAAAAACAAGUCUUUCAUAUUUCUAUGCUACCUUGAGAGCUCCUGAUACCUAAUCUGGAAGCAGACAGAACUCAAAAAGGUGCCUCUUUUCCAGUGAGGACGUGAUUUCCCCUCCAAGGGCCUGGGGCACUGUGCCUCAAAUGCUAAUAGCUUGAGUUUUGUGCAAUAGCCCUAUACUGUUUAUAUAGCACUUCACAUGUUCAAAGCACUAUGAGAUACCAGCCAUCACUAUACUUUUAUGAGGCUGUAAGUAUUACCCACUAAACAUCAGGGUUCAAAUGACUCGCUCUUGAUCAAAAGAAACUUUGUGCAGCAGGACCAUAAUUAUUUGAAUUUGGUAAUUCUCACAGACCAUUCCUAUGGCAACACAGAACAAAGAGGGGGAUGGGAUAUUAAAGCCAAUUGCUAUUGCACUCUGCUCUGGCAGUGAGAUGGACACAUGGAGGCUCUCUUAAGCAAACCUAUACUCACAGCACCUUCUAUAGAAAAUUCUAGAAAAUUAUUUUUUAAAUCAGGAGCAAAAAUUAAACAAAAGGUUUUGAAAACCCACAAGCAUGUUUUUCUAAAUGUAUCUAUUUCACAUAUUCACUGUGAAGAACAUAAAAGACAACAUGCAAAUGGUACUGAAGUAUUCCAGAAAUCCUAAAAGGGGUUCUGAAUUCAUUCGAAAGCAGCUUGAGAGUUUUUGUACCAAGAAGAUUAGUAGGCAACUUAAAAGCAAGUCCAUUUUCUGCAUAAAAAGAACUAGUCUCAUGUCUUAUGGCUGACUAGAGUAGGACUCAUCUUUUCAAAAUAUGGGAUGUUUUUGCUCUCCAUUUUUAUACAUCCAUUCUUCCUAUGAAAAUUCAACUAUGCUGACAUUUAUAUCUUUAAUCUCAAAGCAUCAAGGCUCUGUUCUUGAAAAAGAAUACAAACACAAAGGAGAUGUUAAAAAACAAUCAAUGUACACACAAUACGUAUUACAACCAAAUAAAGGCUUGACAUAAAUACUAAACAGGAUAGAUGCUGAAGAUUCUUCUCUUUACAACUGAAAUCUCUUUAUCCAAAAAUCCUGACACUGAGAUUGAAGUCAGAAUACAAAAACUCAUCCUCUGCCUUUCUAUCCUGUGUCCGUCCUAUCGUACAAUAUUGUCUUUCCCACCUCUUACAUUUUGCCUUGUACACAGCCCCAGUUUCCGCACACACCAUAUGUUUUCAGAGCACAGCUACACAAUUAUUGCCCUUAGAACCUUGCCUGCAGAAUCAUGUGGGAAAUAGAUCAUACUACUAAGACAAAAAUGUAGACCACUACACACAGUCCAGAUUCAUCAAAUAAGAAAAGGAUGCCUGUUUAAAGCUGUAACACAGGAAGGGGGAGGGAAAUAAAUUCUCUUCAAAGGUAGCAAUGAGUGCAGAGAGAAUUACUAAUAUAACCUUUUGUGUUUUAGCCAGGUUGAUCCUGAUGCUAUGAAUAUUUACCCUCUAUUUUACAACUUUCACUUGGCAUUUUUCAGGUACAGGCCACACAGAACUAACUCUAUGCUUAACUAUGCUUGCAAUUUCUACUGUUUUGACUAACAUUGUCUUGAAAAGCUGAAUUACUGAAAUAUUUGCUAAAAUAUUAAAGUUUAAGUAUAACAUCAAUAGGUGAGAGUUACUUCACGGAUAUUAAUGUAAGAACUAGUUACCAUACAGCAUCUACUGAUCUGAAAAACAGAUGUUUGCAUAUGAUUUAUGGACACCAAAAUAUGUGAAUAUCUUCCAUAAAUAGUAAUGUGUUCCAGUAAAAAAGAGUGAAGAAUUGUGAUCCAAAAGACUGGGAAAUUUCAGGCAGUGUUAGAAUUUAUUUACCAAUUUCUUGGCUUAAAAUAUAAAGCAGAUUUCAUAGAGCCACGGCCUUAAAUCCCAUACGCUGGAAAAGUACUUGCAAUUUCAAACAGCACCAAUGACACAAAGUAAUAAAUUGCAGUCAGACUCAAAAGGGCAGAUAUAAAAGUCUGUUUAGAAUAUGAGUGCAACUAUGAUUUGUUAAAUAAGAGUAACAAUUUAUAUUGACUGAGACACAGCAAGUUAAACUUUUGCUAAAGUAAGCAAAAAGCCAAUAUUACUGUGUGUACUUUCACAUUAAAUUUGGGCUUGGAAGUUUCUUUAGUAUCAAGAUAUAACAAAAUACUAAUCAGGUAAAAUUCUAAUGGGCAAAGCAUAGUUUUGAGCACUGCAAUUAAAUUAUUUCUGGAAGCGCAAUCAAAUAUUUGAUUGAGCUAAUAUCACUGCUGCUCCUCACAUUUGUUCUGUUCCUAAAUUAGCUUGGCUAAUCAGUAUCCCACCUCACAGCCUGUGUUGUAAACAUGUAAUAUUAGCUGAUGGGUUUAAUUUCAAGACCACAGUCAAUUUUUGGACAGCAAACUUCUCAAAAACUUAGUCAAAGCCUACAAACGUAUGAAGCAACAUGUUUGGAGAUGUCACAGUUUCUAGGCCAUCAGAACUCUGAUAAAAGUUCUGAGUGAACUUCAGAUCACUCUGUGAUGGCUAUGCAUGUCAAACAAGUUUUGAUUUAGUUUUAUAAUCAGUUUUGUGUACAGUAUUUCACUUCAAAGUGUUUUCUGGUUUUCUGCCCUCCUAAUCCAUGAGCAAGAACCAGGAUUGUACAAAAAAGCAACUUUGUAGAAUGCAGAAUUUAAACAAGGCAAUCACAGUUUUUUGCUCCUGUCUCAGGCUGGCAUACACUAGUGCUUCAAGAUGUUAUUCAGCUGCUACUUUUCCCCAGAGAUGGCUGUACUCCAGUAAAUAGUGAAAUACUCCAUCAAACUUUUUUUUUUUUUUUUUUCCCAGCAGAGGUUAACAGAGAUGUUUCCAUAGGUCUAAGGGAAUAUGAAAACAUGGUGAUUGUGUAGUUGGAUUUCUUGAAAAACAUUAGCCUUAGAUUUACUGCAUCAGUAAUUAGGAGCUGCUGCUACAUUCCAACACGCUGCAGAAACAACUGCAGUUAGUAUCUGUAGAGUACACGGAGAGUCUUAGAUUACAGUGAUUGUUAUUCGAUUCUGUUCUUGCAGCUUUUAAGAUCAUAGAAGAAACAAAUACUUUUCAUUUUGUCCUUCUGAUAGGUGCACAGAUUUUUUCCUUUCAGCAUAUAACUCAAAGUCAUCUAAGUACAAAUUGAAUUUCUAAUAACUACAGUCAACUGGAUUUAAUUCCUUUUGAUGGAAGCAUAGCAGUGUCAAUACUUACAGAGAUUUAGUAUUACUGCUGAUUUAUUGAAAGUAAAAUGUCAGUACAACAUGAAAAUUUGUCAUUUUAGAAAGGUUUAAUAAAAAAGAUGAACACAACACAAAAAAUUGAAAAUAUAAGAACCAAUAACUGGUCAUUCUAAUUCACGUUUUUCCAGAUGAGCAUCCAGGUAUCAGUUGGUUAAACGCAAAUGCCACUGACGUCAAUGGAGCUGUGUCAGUUUACUCUCGCUGUGAAUCUGAUCCCAAGUGUGCUACUGCCAUUUUUAGACUCUGCCACUGGAAUUCACUUUUGCAAGACAAUUAAAAAAACACAUCCACACAUUGCAUUUCUUCCUGUCCCCAAGUGUAUAACUGGAAGUCUGUUGACAGACUGUGGGAGAGGGCAUGUGGGAGGUGGAAGUAGCCAACAACUGCAUCCAUGAGAUAACUUUGCAGUAUCAGUAUGAAUACUGCUCUGUUGUCUUCCUUUUAUACAAAUGAAUAUUUGGCUUCAGAAAGUUUUGACUCCGCCUUCCACUAACAGACAAUUCCAUGUCAGCAGAAGAGAAAUGAUGAUGUAAACUACAUGGAGUAUCUACCUUAUAAAUUUGUUAACAUGGUAUUUUAACCAGUAUGCAAACUCAACAGACUAUUUUAAUGCACCAUUAGAAAAAGUACCUAAAGCUACAAGAGCCCCAUGGCUGAGUUCUGUGUGUUCACCUAAGCAAUCUCCCUGAUGUACCAGCAGUAAGACUGGGAACAGUUCUAAGGCAGCUGUUUGAAGUGGCCUGCAAGCCAGAUUUCUAUCUGGCUAACAUCUUUCAUAUCUCAUCUAGCAUUUGUGUGAGCAAGAGAAAAGAAAGGAAAAGGUGGGGCAAUAAGCAGGGCGGAGUAGUACUUGACAGCGCCACCACUUCUAAGCAGAGAGAGGGAGCUUUUGUCUGUUUUACAUAAGGCAGUUGUUAACAUGAGUGCACUGUAUAACAGCUCCCCGGUAUUAACAUACAAUGAAGUUGGAAUGUUGGUAUUUGACUCAACAUAGCAAGGUCAAAAUGGAAAAGGUAAUUAAUUAGAACUGAAGGUGCAGUCCACAUGGUAUUGAACUAAUUUUCUAUUUGUGCAACACAACAACCAUAUCUUCAAUUUAGGUCAGGCCAUCAAGAGGAGGAAAAGGACUGAAGAUGAGAUGCUCUACUUCACACAGUUGCCCUCUGGAAGGACUUGCAAAGGCAGUCACUUAAAUUAAGUACAGGUCAUCAGACAAGAUAUCUAAUCUAUUCCUAAGACAGGCAGCUCUAGCAGUCCAAAUCCCUAUGGCCUUUGUAGCGACACAAUGAACUACUUCCUCAUGUACCUCUGUCAAUUCACAUUAGGUUCCAGUUUUCUUAAAGCGAUAUUUCAUGUACAUCAUGACCCUAUUGCUCAAAGCAAGGAAAGUGCUUUGGUUUAUUUAUGACCUACUAACCUUAAAUAAAAUUAAAAAAUAUAUCCAAUCUGAAUGUUCACAUAAGCAUGCAGAUCUGAAAUAAAAUUUAAAAUAAACCUGGCAUUUGUAAUAGCUAGCUAAGCCUGGUAAGUGAUUUUUAAAAAAAUAAAACCAGAUGAAAGAAGAUGAAAGCAUAUUUACCCUGCAUAACCUGCACACAUCAUGAAUCAGGGCUAGAACCCAGAAAUACCUUUUGUACUUAGAAGUUUCAGCCCAUUUCAGAGGCUAGGUGACCAAGAAAAUACUGAGGUUUUCUAUUUUAGGGGGUGGGGAAGCAUUAAUAACAACCUGUGAAAGUAAUUCCUUCUAAAAUGUAAUCUACCUGGCCACAAACUCUACACAGCUCCUCUCCUUCCCCUGCACCCCACCCCAUCCCAAUUGCCAGAUAUCAACCAGGCAAGCCCCCAUAUGGAAAUAUGAAGUGACAGAUGGAAGCAGGCAAUAAGGGCAUAGGAAUGAGUACUGAAAGAAACGACAUACAGAGAACAAGCUUAUAACAGGUCAGACCUUAAACAAAUGAAAAUACACAUAAAACUGAGCUGGAGAGCCUUAUUCUUUCAUCCCUCAUGCUAGUGUGCAGAGGUAUUCUCCCAACAUCCAUGGAAUCAAACCUUUGAAAUUUCAGUACAAAUAGAUGGAGAAAUAAAAAUAAUCAAAGCUAAAGUAUUGGCAGCAAAUAUACUGUGCUGCUGUAUUGGGAAAGAAAGUUGGGCUGCCACAUUUAAUUAAAAUAUAUUUGAUUUAUCUAUAUUCAUAAUCACAGUGGCCUUCAUAACACAUCUAAUCUACCAUAAAGAAGAAAAUGAGUUGAUUCUAUUCUUGUCUGGUUUUCCAGUAGGCUAUAUUAAUGACUUUUUCUUUUAGUUCUAAUAGAUGGAAAAUACAGUUGAGUUAAAUGAUGUAAUAAAUACCUCUACAUGCAGAGCAACUACUUGAAAAAAACAGUUAGGACCAAGUCCUUGUCAUAGCGUUUGUUUACAAAAUGGGCACGGGCAGCACACUGAUGAACUCCAGUCCUUUAGUGUGGGCUCCCUUAACAUAAGUACAGACAAAACUCCAAACAUUUAUAAAGUCUUAUAAAUAACGAUGGAAGCAUGAGAGAGAGAAAGUACCGAGCAUCUUUAACCAAAGGAUAAAGUAAACAAACAAACAGCAAUUCAUCUAAAUCAAUGAACCAGUCACUUAAUUUCAGCACAGUCAAGAGCGGACCUAGCAGAAAUGUGACAAGCUGAGCUUCAAGAACACCUUCUGCAUAAGAAUUCUGCUCACAAAUGAAAAUAAGAAAGAAGUCUGGGAAACUACCAGCUCCUUGCAGAAAGACUGAAACAUGAUGGGCAGAGAAGGGUGUUGGUGUCGAAAUUUGAGGAUGCAGUCAAGUCAAUGGAGUUCUGUUGUAGUGGUUGCUUCAGUGAACAUUCAACGCUGUCGGCCUUAACACCGAAGAUAGCAACCUAACCAUCAUAUGAUGUUUCUCCCUCACCCUGCCAAGCUUUACAAAAAGGUCACAAUCAACAUUCAUUGCUGUCGGUGGGUUUAACUAUGUGGACAAGCUCACUGAACAAUGAAUGCAACUGUGGCCUCACAUUGUACAGUUGCCGUUGAGAGGAGUAGCAGCUCUGAAGGCAAUAGUGAGAAGCAAACACUUCUUUUAAACUACAGUUUUCUGGUCAGAAAAAUAGUUGGGGGUAUCCAGUUUUUGCUUGUUUGGUUUUGAGUGUGUUUAACUCAGAUGACUGGAAAAGAAAACCCACUGCGUUUUUCUUGGGUAUUGUCCUCACAGGGUUCAGUGCCACUGAAAAUGUGAAAGUCCUUAUUUAGUAUGUGUGCAGAAAAAAUAACAGGAUAGGACACUAAGUAUAUCCACUCCUAAGGCCUCUAACAUAAGAGGAAAGAAUAUUUAGUUGUCAUUUAACUAGGCAUUGUUGAAGAGUUCAAAAGUUUAUUCUAUACUUGUCACGACAUAUACAGCUGGGAACAAAUGGGAUUUAAGAGUUAUGGAUAAAAAUGUUAUGUCAAAAAAUAUUAAUUAAUUUUACAUGAAACUGAUUUUAAGAACACAAAUACUAUUGCAUUUGCUAUUUUUAGGGAUCUGAAAGAUGACAGAGAAAUGUAUAUCCAGAAAUAAUAAUGGAAAAGCAGUUAUAUUGUAAAGUUGUUGAAUUGUAAACCGAGUACCUAUGUCACGCUCUGAGUUUUGCAAUAAGAAAAUAAAAUGUAAAUAAGCUCAC
Molecule: long non-coding RNA, 14413 nt
Organism: Parus major (Great Tit)
Lineage: Eukaryota; Metazoa; Chordata; Aves; Passeriformes; Paridae
Exons: 8
Source: RefSeq, a predicted model, not a curated record